GCCUCCCCCCUGCCCCGGGGGUCGGGACCGCUUUUGGAUGCCAGCGGUUCGCUUCUGUCCUUACCCUUUGGCUCGUCCAUCAGUGCCGCACGAAUUACCUUAGAGCUGCCGCGUUACCAGCGCCCGGGGGUCCUCCGACGGGCCGUGCAGAGCUGGCUAGGGGUAGCCGAGGGAACGGCCACCGCUGUGGCUGGGACCGCGGACUGAACCACGGUUGGAUCACCGGCUCCGAGGGGGUGGAGAUGUCAUUGUGGCUGCAAAGAUAUGAUACUGCUGUAUGCAUCUCACCUGAUUUAGAUCUUGUUAAAUGAAUGACAAGUCAAUGUGAUCCCACAUCCUAG
This is a long non-coding RNA of Calypte anna (Anna's hummingbird), 341 nucleotides long. RefSeq lists it as uncharacterized. The record is from RefSeq and is a predicted model, not a curated record. The transcript is spliced from 3 exons. Lineage: Eukaryota; Metazoa; Chordata; Aves; Apodiformes; Trochilidae.